AAUUGGAUGGCUGGUAAUAGAACCCAACCGGCACGGUACUGUAGCCAUUUUCCAUGAUGAACAUAUCAUCCUUCCUUCCCUAAAUUCCAACGGUCAACCAUAUCAAUUUCAACAACUGCGGAUGCAGGUACCUAUCGUUUCAUGUAAUGUGAAAUGAAUAUGAUCACUUGGAAAUAGAAGACCUCGGACCAAUCAUUUCCUCUUUCCAAUCACGACCGACUGAAAGAAGGUGACAAAGCGAUGCGAAGAUAAACACAAACAGAACGAGGACAGACGUCUGCCGCCAAGCCAAGCUGUCUUCUCUAUUUUCCUAUUUGGGACCUUUAUAAAGGCUCACAGCUAACCCUUUUGCACUUUUUGAACUUUGGUUGAAUGGAGAUACAAGAAAACCAGAGAAUAUGAUGCUGUUUGUGGUUUCAGCUGCGACGAUGAGGAGAUAUGCAUCCAAAACUUCCGGGUGGCGUCUGGGCUUAAAAAAGCUUAAUUUUUUCUCGGUCAAUUGUGAAAGUGAGUCCUAUUUCUGUCAAGGAAGUGGCAAUUGUCAAGGUCUAACAAGCAGUUUUAUUGAUGGAACCAUGUCACAAGCAUAUGCAACUUCUUGUGAAAGGUUAUCUAAAUCUCUGAUAAAAGAUAAUCCUACUUCUGAUAAGUUAUCAUAUGCAACUUCUUGUGCUCAGUUGUCUGAAGCUCCAGCAAGAGAUAAUCCAGUGUCUGAUAUGUUAGUUGAUUCAUUUGGAAGGCGACACACUUACUUGAGGAUCUCCUUGACAGAACGUUGUAAUCUGCGGUGUAUGUACUGUAUGCCAGCUGAGGGUGUGGAGCUUACUCCUAACCCUCAACUUCUGUCCCAGAAUGAGAUUGUUCGUUUGGCAAAUCUUUUUGUCAGCUCUGGAGUGGAUAAAAUUCGUUUGACUGGUGGGGAGCCAACCAUUAGGAAAGAUAUUGAAGAAAUAUGCUCACAAUUGUCCAGCCUGAAAGGACUAAAGACACUGGCCAUAACCACCAAUGGUAUUACUCUUGCCAGAAAGCUUCCAAAGCUGAAAGAAUGUGGACUGAGUUCGGUGAAUAUUAGUUUAGAUACUUUGGUUCCAGCAAAAUUUGAAUUCAUGACCAGGCGUAAAGGGCAUGAAAGGGUUAUGGAAUCAAUUCACACAGCUAUAGACCUUGGGUAUAAUCCUGUUAAGGUGAACUGUGUUGUAAUGCGUGGGUUCAAUGAUGAUGAGAUCUGUGAUUUCGUAGAGAUGACUCGUGAUAAACCAAUUAAUAUUCGGUUUAUUGAGUUCAUGCCUUUUGAUGGAAAUGUUUGGAAUGUCAAGAAACUUGUACCUUAUGCAGAAAUGUUGGAUAGAGUGGUGAAACAGUUUACAAGCCUAAAGAGACUUCAAGAUCAUCCUACAGAGACUGCCAAGAAUUUUACGAUUGAUGGGCAUUGUGGUACUGUUUCUUUUAUUACAUCAAUGACUAAGAAUUUUUGUGCUGGUUGCAAUAGAUUGCGACUUUUAGCUGAUGGGAACUUCAAAGUAUGCCUGUUUGGUCCGUCAGAGGUUAGCUUAAGAGAUCCCCUUCGUUCUGGUGUUGAUGAUCAUGAACUUGGUGAAAUAAUUGGGGCAGCGGUCAAGAGGAAGAAAGCUUCUCAUGCUGGAAUGUUUGACAUUGCAAAGACCGCAAAUAGGCCCAUGAUACAUAUUGGUGGCUAAGAUGACUCCAGAUUUGAUGAAUGCAUGUUUAAGUGAAUUCCGUUAUACAAGGUUUUGCAAGAACCCUGUAAAUUAUGGUGCAUUUCUAACUUCUGAGAUUAUAUGGAGGAAGUUUUACUUGCUUGGGGCAUAGAGGAAGUGCAGCCGUUUCUCUCUCUCAUUCAGUUUAAAUCUGCCACACAAAGGAUGAAAGAUACUUUUGCACUUUAUCCAUGUUUUAUUUGUAACCAUUUACAGAUGGAAAGUGAUGUGCAUGCAGAGGUGUUAACCCAUUAAGUUCAUUUAUACGGGAACUCUUGUUUAUGUUGUAUCCUCAAUAAGGUUAUCAUCAAUUUCUUUGCUAAUACAGUGAAGGACUGUUGCACAACUGAUUCGUUUCUCUGAGGUUCUGUAUGGAUCAAUCUAUUCUUUGUAUGGAAAAAAACAAUCUGGAUUGAAAA
Molecule: RNA transcript, 2137 nt
Organism: Vitis vinifera (wine grape)
Lineage: Eukaryota; Viridiplantae; Streptophyta; Magnoliopsida; Vitales; Vitaceae
Gene name: GTP 3',8-cyclase, mitochondrial
Exons: 9
Source: RefSeq, a predicted model, not a curated record